AACGCAACUUGCGCCGAGUAUUCGGCAUGUCUACCCGAGUGUCACAUAAACGAUGUUUUAUACGAAUCGGUGUGUAGCACAUGUGCUUGCACUGGGAUAUAGCAAGAAAAGAGGGAUGUGAUGCCUAUUCAAGUGUCAAGUAUUCUUGGACAAGCGUCUCUUUCAUCUCAAUAUUCAUAUUUCCGACCUCGGGUUAGGCAAGAUCACCCGCUGAACUUAA
Molecule: unclassified non-coding RNA, 220 nt
Filed under: uncultured fungus
Lineage: Eukaryota; Fungi
Description: partial contains 5.8S ribosomal RNA, internal transcribed spacer 2, and large subunit ribosomal RNA
Source: RNAcentral